GUUCCGUAGGUGAACCUGCGGAAGGAUCAUUAUUGUAUAACCGAGGUGCGAGGGCUGUCGCUGACCCGAAAGGUCGUGCACGCCCGAGUGCCCUCACACACAUCCAUCUUACCCCUAUGUGCACCACCGCGUGGGUCCCCCUUUGGCUUGUUCGGAGGGGGGCUUACGUUUUCACACAAACUUUGUAUGCAGUGUAGAAUGUAUUUUUUGUUUUUGCGAUCACGCAAUCAAUACAACUUUCAACAACGGAUCUCUUGGCUCUC
This 263-nucleotide unclassified non-coding RNA is filed under the name plant metagenome. Its description in RNAcentral is "partial contains small subunit ribosomal RNA, internal transcribed spacer 1, and 5.8S ribosomal RNA". The record is from RNAcentral.